This 497-nucleotide ribosomal RNA is filed under the name uncultured bacterium. RNAcentral's name for it is "bacterial SSU rRNA". It matches the Rfam family "Bacterial small subunit ribosomal RNA", at positions 9 to 521 of the family's 1533-position model. The record is from RNAcentral.
GAGUUUGAUCGUGGCUCAGAACGAACGCUGGCGGCGUGGAUAAGACAUGCAAGUCGAACGGGACCGGACGGUAGCAAUAUCGAACGGUCGAGUGGCGAACGGGUGCGUAACACGUGGGUCACCAUUCCGGGAAGUGAGGAAUAGCCCAGGGAAACUUGGAUUAAUACCUCAUGUGGUCGCAAGACUAAAGGCGCAAGCCGCUUCCUGAUUGGCCCGCGGCCUAUCAGCUAGUUGGUGGGGUAAUGGCUCACCAAGGCUACGACGGGUAGCUGGUCUAAGAGGACGACCAGCCACACUGGAACUGAGACACGGUCCAGACACCUACGGGUGGCAGCAGUCGAGAAUCUUUCACAAUGGGGGAAACCCUGAUGGAGCGACGCCGCGUGGAGGAUUAAGGUCUUCGGAUUGUAAACUCCUGUCAUGCGAGAGCAAAGCCGCAAGGCCUGGAUAGUAUCGCAAGAGGAAGAGACGGCUAACUCUGUGCCAGCAGCCGCCGU